GGCUCCACCGCCAUCUACUCUCUCUUGUUUGUUGCUCCGCCAUCCAUUCCCAAUCAAGUGCGAGUUGCUACCUAAGAAGUUGCACUUGGUGAAAUCAAGGAGGAGAUCAAGAAAACUAGGGAUGAGAAGAAGGCCAAGAAAGCAAAAUUGAUAGCUUAAACACAGAAGACACAUGGCAAGGGUAAUGCUCCCAAAGGUGCUGCUCCAGAAGGGCCCCAAAUUGGAUGGUGG
This 231-nucleotide long non-coding RNA is filed under the name Theobroma cacao (cacao). Its description in RNAcentral is "long non-coding RNA (TCAC_LNC003688)". The record is from RNAcentral. Lineage: Eukaryota; Viridiplantae; Streptophyta; Magnoliopsida; Malvales; Malvaceae.